This is a long non-coding RNA of Esox lucius (northern pike), 1893 nucleotides long. RefSeq lists it as uncharacterized. Lineage: Eukaryota; Metazoa; Chordata; Actinopteri; Esociformes; Esocidae. The transcript has 6 exons. The record is from RefSeq and is a predicted model, not a curated record.
GUUGCUCGCAACAGGUGAAGAUCUCGACAACAUGAUGUUUGUGAUGGGGCCUCGGUAUUUCAUGGAGGUGAAUUGUGAUUUGGUUUUUUAGAGAAUCUGUUCAUAUGGCAAAGUGCACAGAGGAGAACAACACAACUAGUAUCACAGACCCAGCACAGGGUGGUACGAUGGGACAAUGAGGAGCAGCUUGGGUGUCUCAGGUUGCGGUCGGACAUUACAGUGCGGGACGGGAUCCGUCCAAAACCACUUAGAAUCUGUUCAUAUGGCAAAGUGCACAGAGGAGAACAACACAACUAGUAUCACAGACCCAGCACAGGGUGGUACGAUGGGACAAUGAGGAGCAGCUUGGGUGUCUCAGGUUGCGGUCGGACAUUACAGUGCGGGACGGGAUCCGUCCAAAACCACUUAGAAUCUGUUCAUAUGGCAAAGUGCACAGAGGAGAACAACACAACUAGUAUCACAGACCCAGCACAGGGUGGUACGAUGGGACAAUGAGGAGCAGCUUGGGUGUCUCAGGUUGCGGUCGGACAUAACAGUGCGGGACGGGAUCCGUCCAAAACCACUUAGAAUCUGUUCAUAUGGCAAAGUGCACAGAGGAGAACAACACAACUAGUAUCACAGACCCAGCACAGGGUGGUACGAUGGGACAAUGAGGAGCAGCUUGGGUGUUUCAGGUUGCGGUCGGACAUUACAGGGCGGGACGGGUGCUUUCCAAACCUACUCCUCACUGUGGGCGGUCAUAUGAGUCCCGGUAGCCAUUUAAAGCUUACCAUGUCUGAUUACCUAAUGCUCACUGACAAAUGUUAAGGAUACAUCUAGCCUGUUGUUUCACAAUAAAUCAGGUGGGUAUUUUUGAAAGACCUUGAGUUUCCUAGGAGGAGCCUCCCUUGUGUAUAAGAUUAGUUACAGACACCGGGCAGAUCUCAGUGUACACAUUGCAACUGGACCGUGAAUAUGAACCAAACACAGUUACAAUAUUUCUUAAAGCAACUACUAGGAAGCUAUUAACAGGAUACAAUGGCAGAAGAAUAUUUUGCUACCGGAAACUAUGGAUAUGGAGCACAUCACAUUGAUCACAACAUGGCAGACAAAUAUUUUGCUAAAGGCAACUAUGGACACAGGGCACAUCACAAUGAACAAGAAAUGCCAGAAAGAUAUUUUGCUACAGGCAACUAUGGAUAUGGAGUACAUCACGAUGAACACAAAAUGAAUCAAAGAACACAGGAGCAUAGAGGUAAAAAGGGACUAACACCCUCGCCUGUGCAUAACAUUCGCGAGAGAAUCCGUUGUGAAAGAGAGUCCAGUGGCCUGAGUGCUCCUGUUUAUAUGACACACCCACGCACCAUUGGUCCUCGUGAUGACUCUGCGUAUAAUAGAGACUGGGUUCAGCACAUUAGUCACGUAUCAAUGCCGCCACGUGAUACAGACGGUUCCACCUCUAGGCCAAUCUUUUCUGCUAGGAAAGCGAAGCGUGGUUUACCUAAAGCGUGGGUUUCACUACCAUCACGGGGUGGACAGUUCAACAGGUACCAUAACCCUAGGCACUAUCGCAUACGUAAUGACACCCACCAAGGGCAAGCCAGCGGCGCAAUGCGCGAGCACGAUAAACGCGAGAGGAGAGAACAACCCGAAAGAGCCCUUGCAGUACCCGACCGUGGUCCAAAUGUAUCCGGUAACGGGGGCUGUGUGUAUGACCAGGGCGAUCGCAUACGUAAUGACACCCACCAAGGGCAAGCCAGCGGCGUAAUGCGCGAGCACGAUAAACGCGAGAGGAGAGAACAACCCGAAAGAGCCCUUGCAGUACCCGACCGUGGUCCAAAUGUAUCCGGUAACGGGGGCUGUGUGUAUGACCAGGGCGAUCGCAUACGUAAUGACACCCACCAAGGGCAAGCC